Molecule: ribosomal RNA, 628 nt
Filed under: uncultured bacterium
Lineage: Bacteria
Description: bacterial SSU rRNA
Rfam family: Bacterial small subunit ribosomal RNA
Source: RNAcentral
CGGGGAUUACACGGCGAUGCGAUUUCGGUCAAAUCAAGUGCAAUCUUAGUGGCGGACGGGUGAGUAACGCGUGGGUAACCUGCCUUGCACUGGGGGAUAACACUUAGAAAUAGGUGCUAAUACCGCAUAAGCGCACGGUCCUGCAUGGGACAGUGUGAAAAACUCCGGUGGUGCAGAUGGACCCGCGUCUGAUUAGCUGGUUGGCGGGGUAAAGGCCCACCAAGGCGACGAUCAGUAGCCGGCCUGAGAGGGUGGACGGCCACAUUGGGACUGAGACACGGCCCAAACUCCUACGGGAGGCAGCAGUGGGGGAUAUUGGACAAUGGGGGGAACCCUGAUCCAGCGACGCCGCGUGAGUGAAGAAGUAUUUCGGUAUGUAAAGCUCUGUCAGCAGGGAAGAAAGCAAUGACGGUACCUGACCAAGAAGCCCCGGCUAACUACGUGCCAGCAGCCGCGGUAAUACGUAGGGGGCAAGCGUUAUCCGGAAUUACUGGGUGUAAAGGGAGCGUAGACGGCUGUGCAAGUCUGGAGUGAAAGGCGGGGGCCCAACCCCCGGACUGCUCUGGAAACUGUAUGGCUGGAGUGCAGGAGAGGUAAGCGGAAUUCCUAGUGUAGCGGUGAAAUGCGU